This 492-nucleotide ribosomal RNA is filed under the name uncultured bacterium. RNAcentral's name for it is "partial 16S ribosomal RNA". It matches the Rfam family "Bacterial small subunit ribosomal RNA", at positions 29 to 507 of the family's 1533-position model. The record is from RNAcentral.
AGUGAACGCUGGCGGUAGGCCUAACACAUGCAAGUCGAACGGCAGCACAGUAAGAGCUUGCUCUUACGGGUGGCGAGUGGCGGACGGGUGAGGAAUACAUCGGAAUCUACUUUUUCGUGGGGGAUAACGUAGGGAAACUUACUCUAAUACCGCAUACGACCUACGGGUGAAAGCAUGGGAUCUUCGGACCUUGCGCGAUUGAAUGAGCCGAUGUCGGAUUAGCUAGUUGGCGGGGUAAAGGCCCACCAAGGCGACGAUCCGUAGCUGGUCUGAGAGGAUGAUCAGCCACACUGGAACUGAGACACGGUCCAGACUCCUACGGGAGGCAGCAGUGGGGAAUAUUGGACAAUGGGCGCAAGCCUGAUCCAGUCAUACCGCGUGGGUGAAGAAGGCCUUCGGGUUGUAAAGACCUUUUGUUGGGAAAGAAAAGCAGCAGGUUAAUACCCCGCUGUUCUGACGGUACCCAAAGAAUAAGCACCGGCUAACUUCGUG